UGCGUAGGCGGUGGCGUAAGUCAGUUGUGAAAUUCCCCGGCUUAACCGGCGGGACUGCGAUUGAUACUGCGUCACUUGAAUCAGGAUGAGGUAGGCGGAAUGUGGCAUGUAGCGGUGAAAUGCUUAGAUAUGCCAUAGAACACCGAUUGCGAAGGCAGCUUGCUGGACCUGUAUUGACGCUGAGGCACGAAAGCGUGGGGAGCAAACAGGAUUAGAUACCCUGGUAGUCCACGCCCUAAACGAUGUUUACUUGCUGUGCGGUCUUCGGAUUGCGUGGCGAAGCGAAAGCGAUAAGUAAACCACCUGGGGAGUACGCCGGCAACGGUGAA
RNAcentral lists this ribosomal RNA (329 nucleotides) under uncultured bacterium. RNAcentral's name for it is "bacterial SSU rRNA". It matches the Rfam family "Bacterial small subunit ribosomal RNA", at positions 568 to 898 of the family's 1533-position model. The record is from RNAcentral.